RNAcentral lists this ribosomal RNA (196 nucleotides) under uncultured Alcaligenes sp. RNAcentral's name for it is "partial 16S ribosomal RNA". It matches the Rfam family "Bacterial small subunit ribosomal RNA", at positions 338 to 526 of the family's 1533-position model. The record is from RNAcentral. Lineage: Bacteria; Pseudomonadati; Pseudomonadota; Betaproteobacteria; Burkholderiales; Alcaligenaceae.
CCUACGGGAGGCAGCAGUGGUGAAUUUUGGACAAUGCGGGAAACCCUGAUCCAGCCAUCCAGCGUGUAUGAUGAUGGCCUUCGGGUUGUAAAGUACUUUUGGCAGAGAAGAAAAGGUAUCUCCUAGUACGAGAUACUGCUGACGGUAUCUGCAGAAUAAGCACCGGCUAACUACGUGCCAGCAGCCGCGGUAAUAA